This is a small nucleolar RNA of Mustela putorius furo (domestic ferret), 67 nucleotides long. The record is from Ensembl. Lineage: Eukaryota; Metazoa; Chordata; Mammalia; Carnivora; Mustelidae.
UGGAUCAAUGAUGAAAGUGUGUCAGGAAUAGAAGAUUAUGAUUAAUCCAAUCCCAGAGAGAUUCCCC